RNAcentral lists this ribosomal RNA (253 nucleotides) under uncultured bacterium. RNAcentral's name for it is "partial 16S ribosomal RNA". It matches the Rfam family "Bacterial small subunit ribosomal RNA", at positions 524 to 776 of the family's 1533-position model. The record is from RNAcentral.
UACGUAGGGGGCAAGCGUUAUCCGGAAUUAUUGGGCGUAAAGCGCUCGCAGGCGGUUUCUUAAGUCUGAUGUGAAAGCCCACGGCUCAACCGUGGAGGGUCAUUGGAAACUGGGAGACUUGAGUGCAGAAGAGGAGAGUGGAAUUCCACGUGUAGCGGUGAAAUGCGUAGAGAUGUGGAGGAACACCAGUGGCGAAGGCGACUCUCUGGUCUGUAACUGACGCUGAGGAGCGAAAGCGUGGGGAGCAAACAGG